AUACUUACCUAGCAGGGGAGAAACUAUGAUCACGGAGGUGGUUUUCUCAGGGUGAGGCUCACCGAUUGUGCUCUGAGUGUGCUGAGCCCUACAAUUUCCCCAAAUGUGGGACAUUCUACUACAUAAUUUGUGAUAGUGAUGGACGAUACUCUCACUU
Molecule: small nuclear RNA, 157 nt
Organism: Carlito syrichta (Philippine tarsier)
Lineage: Eukaryota; Metazoa; Chordata; Mammalia; Primates; Tarsiidae
Gene: U1
Rfam family: U1 spliceosomal RNA
About the family: U1 is a small nuclear RNA (snRNA) component of the spliceosome (involved in pre-mRNA splicing).
Source: Ensembl